ACAUAGUUUCAGGGAAGGUGCAAUUCCUUACUGGCGGUAACGCUAGGCCGGGUCCAUAACCGGUAUUCGACGCGAAGCCCGCAACCCGCAUGACGCGGUUGAUCCGGUGUGAAUCCGGGGCCAACGGUUACAGUCCGGAUGGAAGAAACGGAAG
This 154-nucleotide non-coding RNA is filed under the name Bifidobacterium gallicum. Its description in RNAcentral is "FMN sequence". It matches the Rfam family "FMN riboswitch aptamer (RFN element)". From Rfam's summary of the family: The RFN element is a highly conserved domain that is found frequently in the 5'-untranslated regions of prokaryotic mRNAs that encode for flavin mononucleotide (FMN) biosynthesis and transport proteins. Lineage: Bacteria; Bacillati; Actinomycetota; Actinomycetes; Bifidobacteriales; Bifidobacteriaceae. The record is from RNAcentral.